UGAGGUUCAACUAAUUUCAUCCACUAUUUCAUAUAAUGUUACCAGUCAAAGAAAGUAAUGCGUUUUGAAAAAGAAAUGCGUUUUGUCUAGUUAAUCUCUUUAGUUGUGUUAACUCUAGAUUACUCUGUAGCUUUUCACCUUUUUUCUGUUUGUGAAAUUUUCAAUUUGGUUGUUUAUAAAACUAAAAGUAGUUGUUUAGAUAUGGGGUAGAUCAGAAGAAAAAACCGCCGCUAGAGAAAACCCUAAGCGCCGCUAGAGAAAAAAAAACGAUCCUUGCUUUCUUCUUCUCCGGUGGCCGGCGAGCUUCGUCGGUGCCGUGAGAAGGCUUUUAGUGUAUGUUUUUUGUUGUGUCUGUAGUCUGAGCUGAAGCUAUUGAUAUCCUUGAAGAUCUGUGGGUUUAGAUCUGACCUCGAUUUCUCCUUGUAUCUGGUUUGGGUAGUUUAAUCAGAUUCGUAGCUUGUUCUGGUGCGCGGUGUAGGUUAUGCCGGCUCUGAUGUGGGGUGGUACUUCUUCCAUCGGAUCUGGAUAGGCAGAAGACUCAGCUAGUUCUUGGAAAAUUGUCAAGCUUAUCUCUUCUCAUGUCUAUGUUUUGGUAUGUCGUUUGGUCUCAGUCUCGGGUAGUUGUUUAGUCUGUGUUCUCUGUUCUGUGGUCUUCAUCCAACACCUGCCGAUAUGAGUUUGGUUCUACAUCAAGGUAGCCGGUUCCGGUGUGAUCUUGUGUAGCUUCAUCCUGAGGCUGCUCUGUGGAGGCAAUUCGAGGGAGUGUAGCGGAUUAUGUUAAAGAUGUUGAAUUUGCGGUUAAAAAAGGUGAACAAGGUUUCUUCAGCUCGUUAGAGUUUGAUGGGUCUUUCGGCUGUUUAAAGAUGGCUUCCUUCAUGUUCUAGAGUAGUGUUUUAUACUGCUUUGGAUUGUGGGUUGGUUGUUUCUUGAGGCGUUCGUAUGCGUAUGGCCUCGUCGUUCGAUCUCAGUGCUUGGUUUAUAUAUCUUCAGUGGGUGAAGCUUCUGUGUUGCGUAGAUGUGCUGUCCCUUGUUUUGAAACCAACGGGUUUUCUGAAUUAGGUUGUAAGGGGCUUUGGAGCUGUGGCUCAAUUGCGUGUUGUCUUGGAGUAGUUAAUUGCCAACCAUCGUCUUCUUUGGCUGCUCGAGAUGUAGAUUUGUUCUCUGGUGGCUUCUUGUUGAAGAAGCAGCUUGUGUGUUGUGGUUUGUUAGGUUUCCAGAGGGAAACCGUUCUUGGAGAUCAUCUUCCAACUCUAAUAAUAGAGAUUGGCAUCACUUUCUCGCUUAUAUCUUCUUCCGGCACUGCUCAGCUCCUUCUCUCUUGCAGAUUAUCAUGUUUCUUUAAUGUGGCUUUUAAGCACCUUGUUUCCUUUAUUUUAGUGUUUCGGUUAAGUUGUUGUCUCAAACUUUGACUCCGGUAGGUUUUUUUACCUCACCGGCUUAUGGCUCCGGAAAGGUUACAUACCUUUGGUUACAUACCUUUGUCGGCUCAGUGUAAUGCUUGGUUGAAUCUAAUAUAAAUCCAUCAGAUGACAAA
RNAcentral lists this long non-coding RNA (1534 nucleotides) under Brassica napus (rape). RNAcentral describes it as "long non-coding RNA (BNAP_LNC026968)". The record is from RNAcentral. Lineage: Eukaryota; Viridiplantae; Streptophyta; Magnoliopsida; Brassicales; Brassicaceae.